Molecule: ribosomal RNA, 433 nt
Filed under: uncultured bacterium
Lineage: Bacteria
Description: partial 16S ribosomal RNA
Rfam family: Bacterial small subunit ribosomal RNA
Source: RNAcentral
AAUGAACGCUGGCGGCAUGCCUAACACAUGCAAGUCGAACGAGCCCUUCGGGUCUAGUGGCGCCCGGGUGCGUAACGCGUGGGAACCUGAACUUAGGUUCGGAAUAACUACCCGAAAGGGGUGAUAAUACCGGAUAAUGUCUACGGACCAAAGAUUUAUCGAAUUUGGAUGGGCCCGCGUUGGAUUAGCUAGUUGGUAGGGUAAAAGCCUACCAAGGCGACGAUCCAUAGCUGGUCUGAGAGGAUGAUCAGCCACACUGAGACUGAGACACGGCCCAGACUCCUACGGGAGGCAGCAGUGGGGAAUAUUGGACAAUGGGCGAAAGCCUGAUCCAGCAAUGCCGCGUGAGUGAUGAAGGCCUUAGGGUUGUAAAGCUCUUUUACCCGGGAUGAUAAUGACAGUACCGGGAGAAUAAGCUCCGGCUAACUCCGUG